RNAcentral lists this unclassified non-coding RNA (522 nucleotides) under Cyperus albescens. Its description in RNAcentral is "partial contains trnH gene (partial), trnH-psbA IGS and psbA gene (partial)". The record is from RNAcentral. Lineage: Eukaryota; Viridiplantae; Streptophyta; Magnoliopsida; Poales; Cyperaceae.
UUAUCAAUCAUCCAUAAUUUAUAAAACAGGUUACGAUUUGGUAGAUUUUACACCUACCCAUUUUUUGGAAAUGAAAGAUAUAAACAAUAGAAAUAUUAAAUCAAUAGAAAUAUUAAAUCUUUACUUUAUCUUUAUCCAAAAAAAUUUUUGGUGNAAAAAAUUAUUUAUAAUCCNUAUUUUUCAAAAUAAAAAAAAAANCUGAAAAAANUGGAGAAUUUCUACUACUUAGUUUAGAAAAAAAAANUCGUCUUUUUUCUAUAUUAAUUUUUAAAAAUUAACGAGAAUCAAGUGUAUUAAUCCUCUAGGUAUACUUACGCAAUAUACCUUUAUUUAUAUUAUAUUUUNAUAAACCUCCAGGUAUACUUACCCNAAUAGAGAUAUUUUAGAGACUACUAUACUCUAGUAGUAUAUUUUUUUCCUUACCCAAUAUAUUAGUCUAAAAAACUAAUAUAUUGGGUAUAUUGGGUAUUUAUCAAAUUAAUAUUCAAAUUUUUAAUAUAAUGAACAAUUCAAAAGAUCUAG